UGCGGGGUCGUCUAACGGUAGGACGGGUCUCUUUGGAAGACCUAAUGAACGUUCGAUUCGUUCCCCCGCAGCCA
This 74-nucleotide transfer RNA is filed under the name bacterium. RNAcentral's name for it is "tRNA-Gln". It matches the Rfam family "tRNA". Rfam says of the family: Transfer RNA (tRNA) molecules are approximately 80 nucleotides in length. The record is from RNAcentral.